This 476-nucleotide ribosomal RNA is filed under the name Terebra tricolor. RNAcentral describes it as "partial 16S ribosomal RNA". It matches the Rfam family "Bacterial large subunit ribosomal RNA", at positions 1862 to 2598 of the family's 2925-position model. Lineage: Eukaryota; Metazoa; Mollusca; Gastropoda; Neogastropoda; Terebridae. The record is from RNAcentral.
CCCGGUGAAGUUUUUUACGGCCGCGGUACUCUGACCGUGCAAAGGUAGCAUAAUCAUUUGCCUUGUAAUUGAAGGCUGGUAUGAAUGGUUUGACAAGAAUACAACUGUCUCUUUAUGAUUUGGUAGAAUUUUAUUUUUAGGUGAAAAAGCCUUAAUUUGAUUAAUAGACAAGAAGACCCUGUCAAGCUUUAAGGAAUUUAGUGGGUUAGAAAACUAAUUAGUGGAAAAAGGAAUCUGUUAAAUAUUUUGGUUGGGGCGACUGAGGAACAUAUAAAGCUUCCUUUAAUAUGUUAUUAAUACAUACAGGUAUUGAUCCAAGAAUGUUGAUUAAAGAAAUUAGUUACCGUAGGGAUAACAGCAUUAUCUUUUUUGAGAGUUCUUAUCGAAAAAAGGGUUUGUGACCUCGAUGUUGGACCAGAAUGUCCUAAAGAUGCAGAAGUCUUUGAGGGUUGGUCUGUUCGACCAUUAAAAUUCUA